GGAAAACAAAACACACUGAAGAUGUAAAUGUAACCACAACACUUGCUGCACACCUUGGGUAUGAUUAUUGUGAUUCUGAUCAUGGCGCUUUUGAAUUUGGACAGUGCUUACUUAAACUGCUUCACAAAAGAGCUAAAAAUCCAUUGAGUGAAUUCUUCAGGUCAUGGCUAAAUCCCCCUUUCCCCCUUCCUUCAUUCAUGCCUUUUUCAUUCCUGCAUAUAGACUCUGAUGAGUGCUAUAACUCUGUUAAGAUGGAGUACUGGUAAAAUACAAAUAGUGCUUUCAAUACACUUACCUUUAAUACCCCUUUGUUUCUUUAAAACACCCACAAAUAGACUUCAACUGAAUCUAAGGCAUAUUAUCUGGAUGCAUAUUUUUUUCUAGUUUUUGCGAUCUUGAGGUGUAAAAACAAUGUGCUUUGGAAUCUCAUAAAUUAAGCUAUCUUUAAUUUUAUAAGUAUUGUACCUCCAUUAGUUCCAUGAUGGUUUUCAGUUUUUGUCCAAGUGCUCCACCUGUCACACUCUGCUGUGUAUCUCAGGCUGACUCUCACUCACCUGCCACACCUCACCCCUGCCACACCUCCUCAUCAGCACUGAUUCCCCACACCUGUGAGUGACAAGCUGCAGCUCCUCACUGCUGAUUAGCCAGCCAGCAUUAAAGUCACUCUGUGACCCUCAGUCAGUGCCAGAUUGUCUUCGCAGCAUGCACGACUCUCCAGCAUUACUUCUUGGAUUGACUUCUCGGUUUCGACUCCUGCCUGUCCCUGACCACGUCUUAUCGUCUCAUCCCUUGGAUCCCCUGUCAAGUUUCUUCGCUCUGGUGAGAACUUCAGGUUUUGCUGUGUUGCUGGCUUCCCGACCUACUGCCUGUCCACGACUAUCCUUCCGUCUGAUCUCUCUGGAAUUAGUCUGCCCCGCUGAUUGUCUGCCUGGAUUCGACAUUGCCUCCGCUUUGACCACGAGCUCAGCCUGCCCCUCGACAGUGCCGCUGCACUUCACAAAGACUCUCAGGUGUAGUGUGUUUUCUGUGUUCACUCACCUUUCUGCCUGUUGGAUCUGUUUCCUGUGGAUCUGUCUUCUGGUGGACUUGGAGAUUCUACAGAGACUGCUUAAAUCAAUCCCAGUAUCUUCAGUUUCCUGUGUGCUGUGAUCUGUUGCAAUAAAAAUAGCUUCUAAACCACUACCUGCUGUUGUGCUGCACUUGGGUCCUACAUCCACACCCCUGACACCACCUUUGGCAUGGAACAGCCUGAGUAACUUGGGAGUGUGAAGGUCCAAGGCAGCCAUAAAUCGGGGCUCCAGAGGCAUGGUAGUGAUUCUUUGAAAUUCUGCACUGAUCUGAAAAGUCAACAAAAGUGAAAAGGUUUCAGACCACACUUAAACAUUUCAUACAUUUACAUACAAUAUAUUCUGCAGCUUUCACAGAGUACUUAUUAGAACUGUCAUCAUAUUUAUUAACUGUCAUUAACAUUUUGUCUCUUAACAGCAAUUACAAGAGUAAACUCACCUUUGAACAACUGAACAGGGCAGGCUAGCGGUCCUUCAUGGCUUGAACACUUGGACAUUGGUUGAUUGCUUCAUGUCGUCUGAGGGCAAAUGUAUGGCUCAUUUUGUCAUUGACCAUUUUCUCAUUAUUCUUUUUCUUGAACUCAGUGAUUAGUUCUUCUCUUGUUUUUUCUAAGCUGUGCUCAUCUUCACCAGCAGGGUAGAGAGGGAGAUAGUUCACCUCUGCCCCUCUUGCCUUUUUAACAUUUUUUGCAGACUUUUGGUCCUCAGGACAUUUAAUGCUUAGCGCAUCGCAUGUAACAUCUGGAAUCCCAAAGCCUCUUAGCUUUGUCCUGUAGUUACUCAUUUUAUAUUUAAUGUGAGUCAGCCAUCCACUGAGACCUGAAGAGCACCCUGGAUCCCUCAGACAUGGUUGGGCCUUGAUAAGCGCUUCAGCAACAGAGAGAACUUGCAGGGAUGAUGGGUAGGCAGUGUAUGCAUAAAUGGAGUGAGCUAGCUUUUCAAGUAUGUCAGACCUGAUCUUUGGAGUUGUCAGCAAUGUGCCGUCUUUUUUGUAAAGUUCAUUGGCUCUUUAAAGAACUAUCUCAGUUUCAACGGAGAAUUCUGGAAUGCUGAAUUCAGCUGGCCAUGGCUUUCUCUGUUGGUUGCAGUUUGGUGAUAAUAUGAUUGUGCUUGGGGUUGAUGAAUCUGACGAGUCAAGGGCCUCGUGCAGUAGAACUUGUGGAGGGUGGGUCAAAGGAUUGCUCUGAGGUGACACUGCCAGCAUAGCUUUCAUUGAGUGGCACUGGAUACAAAUUAAGAACAACUGGUUCAAUUGUCAUGACCUGUACUGUUGCUCUGUUUUGAAUUUGAUUAGUGGAGUGAAGAGUGAAAAAGUCCUUGAAAUCUGGAUCUAAAUACUGCAGGCUGAAGUCCCCAGUGAUGCUUAAUUGCUGUUUGAUGGCUAAACUUAGCUCCUCAGUAGUCUCUGGUAUUCCAGACAGAAGCGUCAGUUUCUCAAUUCUGUGUCCAAAGAUCACCCGGAGCACUGCUGGAUCCAUGUCCCGUUGCCUAGUGGGAAAAACAAAAAAAAUCUUUAAGAUUCUUAGGUCCAGAAAAAAAGUACAGUUAAAGACACUGCCAUAGCCAGUUCUAUUAUUCGACACACUGAGCAACUUUUUGCUGAUGAAUGAGAAAACUAGUGCCGUGCUCGCCACUUUGAAUGUCAGCAUCCCUUUCCCCACAUCAGUGAUUUCUCCUGGCUUUUGCACGUUUUACAUUCCAGUUACAGUUAAUACAAAGCUCUUAAACAUCUAACUGUUGAUACACUGACCCAACGUUUUUGUAAGAUAACUUUAGUUAAUGUUUAUGAUAGUGAGAGCAUUGAUGAUACGUUACCUGCCUGGCAAGAAGACUGUCUGACACAAAGCCGAAGUAAAGCUGAUGGAAUUACAGUUAGCAUGUUUGGAAAAUAAGAUCCUCGUCUUACACAGCGUGGUAUCCCUGGAUAGCCCUAAAAAUCCCCCAUGAAUGGAAACGAAAAUCCAUUAACAUAAACACGAUUUACUCUCCACCACAAUUUACUGAGACAGCAAGUCUGUAUAGCAUAUUUUCCUUGAGGAAUAUCCAAAACUUCUUAGUGGAACUACUAAUCAGUAACUAUCAAAAUAAAAGCCUGUGGUUUUGCAACCGUAACUGCAGCAAAUACUCUUGAUAUUUUCCUGAUAUUGUUGCUUUAAUGCCAUCACACUAUAGUUUUCAUUAACAUAAUGUGCAUAAUUUACCUUUCUGCCGCUUCCGUGUCUCUCUACCACUAUGACUGCUAUAUUGUUUUGUAAAGUCCCCUAGCAUGCACCCAUGGGUCAUCAUUAACAUUACAGUAUAAACAAAAUAAGUCUCCUUACCUUUGUCAACCAAACAAAUUUGAUAAGUUAAAUAGAGGAAAAGGGGCAGCAGAUAUUUGCACUUACUUUGUCUUGUGACAGGAUGAAAGCCUGCUGAAUUCAAAAGAAGAAAAAAGGCGCAAAAUAACAGGAAGUGCCUGUCAAUUAAAAACUGAAUGAUUCUAUUAAGUUGGAUUUAUUUAAAAUUCUUUUGAUUUAGAAUUACAUCAACAUAAAAGUUAUAAUUUAUGUAACCAAAAUGAGCAGAUUUUAUCUUGGACAUUUUUGUUUGAAAGUUACUUAAACUUUUGCCACAAAAUCAAGGACGCAUUUAUAUUGAAUACAUUUAAUCAAAUAUAUUAAGUAAAAUGUAAAUGACCACGGUAUCAUUUAUUACAGUAUACGCGCUUCUAACUCAGUAAGUUCACGUGACACAAAAUUAAAACUUCAUCCAAAACCCUGGACAUUUGACGGAUUUUAUAAACUUCCCCAGACAAAGCCCGACAAGCCCAGACAGCCCCCCCAAAAGAGGAUACAUCCAGGUAAAAGAGGGCGUAUGGUCACCAUAAUAAGUUAAACACUUGAUUUUUAUCAACUAUUAUUUUGCUGUGUGCACAAUAAUGGUUGAAGGGCUCUAUUUUAAUGUCUCAGCGCAGCGUAAAUCUGGUCUGCAGAGGCAAUGAGGCAUGCCCAAGCAUACUUACAUAUUUUGGUGAGCAGCACAGCCCGGCAUAAGUAGCCCCCUCCCUAACUCAGCUCCUCCUAGCGGUGUAAGUACAAAAGAGGGAGGGGAGAAGGUGUGGAGUGUGUUGAACACAGCUGAGUCCAGUUUUCACCGAUUAUAUCAGCUCCUCUCCUCUUUAAAUCCACUACCGGUGAGACGGAUAGCAAAUUUUGUUGAUUAGUUGAAAGAUGGCUGAAGACAGUAAUGCCACAAGAGGGCAACAGGAUGCAGCCCCUCAACAAGUGUCGUGGUAAGUGCUGCGAAGGGCGUCUUUACACGUUCUCAGUUUAGCUCUGAGGGAUCUGGGGCCUCAUGUAUCAAUACUUGCGUGGGACUCAUACCAGAAACGAGCGCACGCAAGGUCCAUCACGCUGAAAAAAAUCUGUAUGUAUCAAUGUGUGCGGGCGCCGAAAGCCACGUGUGUUUCCUAUAUAAAUCCCAAUCAGCGUGGAAUUGAGCGCAGAAGUCAGAGUGACCGGGCCCGCCCCCGUUACGCCCUCCUAUAAAUAUGCAGAUUUAUUUAAAUCGGGUCUCCCUGUCCUCGCACGCAGACAAAAUGACAAGAAAAACUAAAUUUACGGCGUGCAAGGUGGAGGUGCUGGUGGCGGAGGAGCGACAGCGUGUUUUGUUUGGCAGCCUGUCCAGUGGCGUCAGUGCAAAACGAAAACGCUUGGAGUGGGAGAAAGUUUGGGAGAGGGUCAACGCGGUGGGUUCCGAGACACGCACC
This is a non-coding RNA of Xyrichtys novacula (pearly razorfish), 4818 nucleotides long. Lineage: Eukaryota; Metazoa; Chordata; Actinopteri; Labriformes; Labridae. The record is from the annotation of a GenBank genome assembly.